RNAcentral lists this ribosomal RNA (446 nucleotides) under uncultured bacterium. RNAcentral describes it as "SSU rRNA". It matches the Rfam family "Bacterial small subunit ribosomal RNA", at positions 26 to 518 of the family's 1533-position model. The record is from RNAcentral.
AGAACGAACGCUGGCGGCAGGCUUAACACAUGCAAGUCGAACGCUCGUAGCAAUACGGGAGUGGCAGACGGGUGAGUAACGCGUGGGAACAUACCCUCCGGUUCGGAAUAGCUCAGGGAAACUUGGAUUAAUACCGGAUACGGCUGAGAGGCGAAAGAUUUAUCGCCGGAGGAUUGGCCCGCGUUCGAUUAGCUUGUUGGUGAGGUAACGGCUCACCAAGGCGAUGAUCGAUAGCUGGUCUGAGAGGAUGAUCAGCCACAUUGGGACUGAGACACGGCCCAAACUCCUACGGGAGGCAGCAGUGGGGAAUAUUGGACAAUGGGCGCAAGCCUGAUCCAGCCAUGCCGCGUGAGUGAUGACGGCCUUAGGGUGUAAAGCUCUUUCGCUCGGACGAUAAUGACGGUACCGAGAUAAGAAGCCCCGGCUAACUUCGUGCCAGCAGCCGC